ACGGGUGAGUAACGCGUGGCAACGUACCUUUUGGUUCGGAACAACACAGGGAAACUUGUGCUAAUACCGGAUAAGCCCUUACGGGGAAAGAUUUAUCGCCGAAAGAUCUGCCCGCGUCUGAUUAGCUAGUUGGUGAGGUAAUGGCUCACCAAGGCGACGAUCAGUAGCUGGUCUGACAGGAUGAUCAUCCACAUUGGAACUGAGACACGGCCCAAACUCCUACGGGAGGCAACAGUGGGGAAUAUUGGACAAUGGGGGCAACCCUGAUCCAGCCAUGCCGCGUGAGUGAUGAAGGCCCUAGGGUUGUAAAGCUCUUUUGUGCGGGAAGAUAAUGACGGUACCGCAAGAAUAAGCCCCGGCUAACUUCGUGCCAGCAGCCGCGGUAAUACGAAGGGGGCUAGCGUUGCUCGGAAUCACUGGGCGUAAAGGGUGCGUAGGCGGGUCUUUAAGUCAGGGGUGAUAUCCUGGAGCUCACUCCAGAACUGCCUUUGAUACUGAAGAUCUUGAGUUCGGGAGAGGUGAGUGGAACUGCCAGUGUAGAGGUGAAAUUCGUAGAUAU
This 559-nucleotide ribosomal RNA is filed under the name Bradyrhizobium sp. NiF09. RNAcentral's name for it is "bacterial SSU rRNA". It matches the Rfam family "Bacterial small subunit ribosomal RNA", at positions 102 to 697 of the family's 1533-position model. Lineage: Bacteria; Pseudomonadati; Pseudomonadota; Alphaproteobacteria; Hyphomicrobiales; Nitrobacteraceae. RNAcentral also lists the same sequence under 1 other name. The record is from RNAcentral.